This 164-nucleotide ribosomal RNA is filed under the name uncultured bacterium. RNAcentral's name for it is "partial 16S rRNA". It matches the Rfam family "Bacterial small subunit ribosomal RNA", at positions 355 to 511 of the family's 1533-position model. The record is from RNAcentral.
UAGGGAAUCUUCCACAAUGGGCGCAAACCUGAUGGAGCAACACCGCGUGAGUGAAGAAGGGUUUCGGCUCGUAAAGCUCUGUUGUUAAAGAAGAACACGUAUGAGAGUAACUGUUCAUGCGUUGACGGUAUUUAACCAGAAAGUCACGGCUAACUACGUGCCAG